GGGGUUGUGGCUCAGUGGUAGAGCGUUCACCUAGCAAAUGCAAGGCCAUGGGUUUGAUCCUCAUCACCA
Molecule: transfer RNA, 69 nt
Filed under: Ictidomys tridecemlineatus (thirteen-lined ground squirrel)
Lineage: Eukaryota; Metazoa; Chordata; Mammalia; Rodentia; Sciuridae
Description: Spermophilus tridecemlineatus (thirteen-lined ground squirrel) tRNA
Rfam family: tRNA
About the family: Transfer RNA (tRNA) molecules are approximately 80 nucleotides in length. Their secondary structure includes four short double-helical elements and three loops (D, anti-codon, and T loops). Further hydrogen bonds mediate the characteristic L-shaped molecular structure. tRNAs have two regions of fundamental functional importance: the anti-codon, which is responsible for specific mRNA codon recognition, and the 3' end, to which the tRNAs corresponding amino acid is attached (by aminoacyl-tRNA synthetases). tRNAs cope with the degeneracy of the genetic code in two manners: having more than one tRNA (with a specific anti-codon) for a particular amino acid; and 'wobble' base-pairing, i.e. permitting non-standard base-pairing at the 3rd anti-codon position.
Source: Rfam by way of RNAcentral